RNAcentral lists this ribosomal RNA (292 nucleotides) under uncultured bacterium. Its description in RNAcentral is "partial 16S ribosomal RNA". RNAcentral also lists the same sequence under 1 other name. The record is from RNAcentral.
GGACUACACGGGUAUCUAAUCCCGUUUGCUCCCCUAGCUUUCGCACCUCAGCGUCAGUUGUGGACCAGAGAACCGCCUUCGCCACCGGUGUUCCUCCUGAUAUCUACGCAUUUCACCGCUCCACCAGGAGUUCCGUUCUCCCCUACCACACUCGAGCAUCGCAGUCUGCCGGGCAGUUCCACGGGUGAGCCGUGGGAUUUCACCCGACACUUACGAUGCCGCCUACGUGCGCUUUAAGCCCAGUGAUUCCGAACAACGUUCGCACUCUCUGUAUUACCGCGGCUGCUGGCAC